RNAcentral lists this ribosomal RNA (492 nucleotides) under uncultured bacterium. RNAcentral describes it as "bacterial SSU rRNA". It matches the Rfam family "Bacterial small subunit ribosomal RNA", at positions 30 to 518 of the family's 1533-position model. The record is from RNAcentral.
AUUGAACGCUGGCGGCAUGCCUUACACAUGCAAGUCGAACGGUAACAGGUCUUCGGAUGCUGACGAGUGGCGAACGGGUGAGUAAUACAUCGGAACGUGCCCGAUCGUGGGGGAUAACGGAGCGAAAGCUUUGCUAAUACCGCAUACGAUCUACGGAUGAAAGCAGGGGACCGCAAGGCCUUGCGCGGACGGAGCGGCCGAUGGCAGAUUAGGUAGUUGGUGGGAUAAAAGCUUACCGAGCCGACGAUCUGUAGCUGGUCUGAGAGGACGACCAGCCACACUGGGACUGAGACACGGCCCAGACUCCUACGGGAGGCAGCAGUGGGGAAUUUUGGACAAUGGGCGCAAGCCUGAUCCAGCCAUGCCGCGUGCAGGAUGAAGGCCUUCGGGUUGUAAACUGCUUUUGUACGGAACGAAAGACUCUUUCUAAUAAAGAGGUCCAUGACGGUACCGUAAGAAUAAGCACCGGCUAACUACGUGCCAGCAGCCGAC